AACAACAUAAACAUCCAUUCAAUCACACAGCAACAAGCUAUAAGCAUGUGCAUGUCAAAACUAUGAAAACUCCGUAAGUAAGAAACUAGACAAGAUGCAGACCACAAACUUCAACUUUACCAAAAACUUCGAUCAAAUUCACAAAGGGGUAUCCUAAAAGCUUCAACUUUACCAGAUUGUGGACAACAUUAACAGAAUUCAAAAACUACAGGUAUAAAUAGAUAAGCAUAAAACCUCAAAAGUGUACACAUUCAUGUUCCCAAGAAAAUAGAAAUCCAAAAUCACAACCAUGCAAUCUCAGAUCCCACAAAUCCCAGUCCACAUUUUAAGAAA
This 333-nucleotide unclassified non-coding RNA is filed under the name Hevea brasiliensis (rubber tree). The record is from RNAcentral. Lineage: Eukaryota; Viridiplantae; Streptophyta; Magnoliopsida; Malpighiales; Euphorbiaceae.